AAUUUCCCCCAUGUCACUCUGAACAUACUGAUUUUGUAAACUCACCGGGGGCAGAUCUUGUUUGUACUUGGAUGGGAGACCAUCAUGGAAUACCAGGAUGGAAUCUC
This 107-nucleotide ribosomal RNA is filed under the name Pogona vitticeps (central bearded dragon). The record is from RNAcentral. Lineage: Eukaryota; Metazoa; Chordata; Lepidosauria; Squamata; Agamidae.